This 1350-nucleotide ribosomal RNA is filed under the name uncultured bacterium. Its description in RNAcentral is "bacterial SSU rRNA". It matches the Rfam family "Bacterial small subunit ribosomal RNA", at positions 28 to 1381 of the family's 1533-position model. The record is from RNAcentral.
GAUGAACGCUGGCGGCGUGCCUAACACAUGCAAGUCGAGCGAGAAAUGAAAGCAAGAAACUUCGGUAGAUUGCAUUCAUGGAAAGCGGCGGACGGGUGAGUAACGCGUAGGCAACCUGCCCUGUACAGGGGGAUAGCCAUUAGAAAUGAUGAUUAAAACCCCAUAAAGCGAGAUGUUCACAUGUAUAUUUCGCCAAAGAUUUAUCGGUAUAGGAUGGGCCUGCGUCUGAUUAGCUGGUUGGUGAGGUAACGGCUCACCAAGGCGACGAUCAGUAGCCGACCUGAGAGGGUGAUCGGCCACAUUGGAACUGAGACACGGUCCAAACUCCUACGGGAGGCAGCAGUGGGGAAUAUUGCACAAUGGGCGCAAGCCUGAUGCAGCAACGCCGCGUGAAGGAAGAAGGUCUUCGGGCCGUAAACUUCUGUCCUUGGGGAAGAAAGAAAUGACGGUACCCAUGGAGGAAGCCCCGGCUAACUACGUGCCAGCAGCCGCGGUAAUACGUAGGGGGCAAGCGUUAUCCGGAAUUAUUGGGCGUAAAGAGUGUGUAGGUGGUUUUUUAAGCGCAGGGUUUAAGGCAAUGGCUCAACCAUUGUUCGCCCUGCGAACUGGAAGACUUGAGUGCAGGAGAGGAAAGCGGAAUUCCUAGUGUAGCGGUGAAAUGCAUAGAUAUUAGGAGGAACACCAGUGGCGAAGGCGGCUUUCUGGACUGAAACUGACACUGAGACACGAAAGCGUGGGGGAGCAAACAGGAUUACGAUACCCUGGUAGUCCACGCCGUAAACGAUGAGCACUAGGUGUCGGGGUCGCAAGACUUCGGUGCCGCAGUUAACGCAUUAAGUGCUCCGCCUGGGGAGUACGCACGCAAGUGUAAAACUCAAAGGAAUUGACGGGGACCCGCACAAGCAGCGGAGCAUGUGGUUUAAUUCGAAGCAACGCGAAGAACCUUACCAGAGCUUGACAUCCUCCUGACAGGUCGGUAAGACGACUCUUCUUCGGACAGGAGAGACAGGUGGUGCAUGGUUGUUGUCAGCUCGUGUCGUGAGAUGUUGGGUUAAGUCCCGCAACGAGCGCAACCCUUGCCUUUAGUUGCCAUCAUUAAGUUGGGCACUCUAGAGGGACUGCCGGGGACAACUCGGAGGAAGGUGGGGAUGACGUCAAAUCAUCGUGCCCCUUAUGUUAUGGGGUACACACGUGAUACAAUGGCCGGUACAACAGGAAGCGAAACCGCGAGGUUGAGCGAACCCCAAAAGCCGGUCCCAGUUCGGACUGCAGGCUGCAACUCGCCUGCACGAAGUUGGAGUUGCUAGUAAUCGCGGAUCAGCACGCCGCGGUGAAUGCGUUCCCGGGUCU